Molecule: ribosomal RNA, 468 nt
Filed under: uncultured bacterium
Lineage: Bacteria
Description: partial 16S ribosomal RNA
Rfam family: Bacterial small subunit ribosomal RNA
Source: RNAcentral
GACGAACGCUGGCGGCGUGCUUAACACAUGCAAGUCGAACGGAGAGGCCCUGCUUUUGUGGGGUGCUCGAGUGGCGAACGGGUGAGUAACACGUGAGUAACCUGCCCUUGACUUUGGGAUAACUUCAGGAAACUGGGGCUAAUACCGGAUAGGAGCUCCUGCUGCAUGGUGGGGGAUGGAAAGUUUCGGCGGUUGGGGAUGGACUCGCGGCUUAUCAGCUUGUUGGUGGGGUAGUGGCUUACCAAGGCUUUGACGGGUAGCCGGCCUGAGAGGGUGACCGGCCACAAUGGGACUGAGAUACGGACCAGACUCCUCCGCGAGGCAGCAGUGGAGAAUAUUUCACUAUGGGACGAAGCCUGAUGCAGCCACGCCGCGCGCGGGAUGACGGCCGUCCGGUUGUAAACCGCUUUCGCCUGUGACGAAGCGUGAGUGACGGUAAUGGGUAAAGAAGCACCGGCUAACUACGUG